GAUGAACGCUGGCGGCGUGCCUAAUACAUGCAAGUCGAGCGAACGGACGAGAAGCUUGCUUCUCUGAUGUUAGCGGCGGACGGGUGAGUAACACGUGGAUAACCUACCUAUAAGACUGGGAUAACUUCGGGAAACCGGAGCUAAUACCGGAUGAUAUUUUGAACCGCAUGGUUCAAAAGUGAAAGACGGUCUUGCUGUCACUUAUAGAUGGAUCCGCGCUGCAUUAGCUAGUUGGUAAGGUAACGGCUUACCAAGGCAACGAUGCAUAGCCGACCUGAGAGGGUGUUCCGCCACACUGGAACUGAGACGCGGUCCAGACUCCUACGGGAGGCAGCAGUAGGGAAUCUUCCGCAAUGGGCGAGAGCCUGACGGAGCAACGCCGCGUGAGUGAUGAAGGUCUUCGGAUCGUAAAACGCUGUUAUUAGGGAAGAACAGAUGUGUAAGUAACUGUGCACAUCUUGACGUUACCUAAUCAGAAAGCCACGGCUAACUACGUG
RNAcentral lists this ribosomal RNA (497 nucleotides) under uncultured bacterium. Its description in RNAcentral is "partial 16S ribosomal RNA". It matches the Rfam family "Bacterial small subunit ribosomal RNA", at positions 28 to 507 of the family's 1533-position model. The record is from RNAcentral.